Molecule: ribosomal RNA, 478 nt
Filed under: uncultured bacterium
Lineage: Bacteria
Description: partial 16S ribosomal RNA
Rfam family: Bacterial small subunit ribosomal RNA
Source: RNAcentral
GACGAACGCUGGCGGCGUGCUUAAUACAUGCAAGUCGAACGGUAAGGCCCUUCGGGGUACACGAGUGGCGAACGGGUGAGUAACACGUGGGUGAUCUGCCCUGCACUUCGGGAUAAGCCUGGGAAACUGGGUCUAAUACCGGAUAGGACUCCUGGCUUCAUGGUUGGGGGUGGAAAGCUUUUGCGGUGUGGGAUGGGCCCGCGGCCUAUCAGCUUGUUGGUGGGGUAAUGGCCUACCAAGGCGACGACGGGUAGCCGGCCUGAGAGGGUGACCGGUCACACUGGGACCGAGAUACGGCCCAGACUCCUACGGGAGGCAGCAGUGGGGAAUAUUGCACAAUGGGCGCAAGCCUGAUGCAGCGACGCCGCGUGAGGGAUGACGGCCUUCGGGUUGUAAACCUCUUUCAGCUAUGACGAAGCGCAAGUGACGGUAGUAGCAGAAGAAGGACCGGCCAACUUCGUGCCAGCCGCCGCCGUAA